This is a long non-coding RNA of Hyalella azteca, 185 nucleotides long. RefSeq lists it as uncharacterized. The record is from RefSeq and is a predicted model, not a curated record. The transcript is spliced from 3 exons. Lineage: Eukaryota; Metazoa; Arthropoda; Malacostraca; Amphipoda; Hyalellidae.
CCCGUCACCCCAGCAUCCACGACACCCCGAGACUCGGGGCUGCAGCUUGCCAUAGAGAAGUUGAAGGAGCAAGAGGUUCUGAGGCGUCGUCACGACCAGCUCAUAGAACAGAAACAGCUCCUGCACGACCUGAAGCAAGGCCUGCAACGGCGCGGUGGUGCAGAGCAUCCCAGCCGACGCAGCAG